This 562-nucleotide ribosomal RNA is filed under the name bacterium RBM-C18. Its description in RNAcentral is "bacterial SSU rRNA". It matches the Rfam family "Bacterial small subunit ribosomal RNA", at positions 74 to 628 of the family's 1533-position model. The record is from RNAcentral.
GCGGCUGGCAUCGCCUCCUUAUUUAGCGGCGGACGGGUGAGUAAUGCCUAGGAAUCUGCCUGGUAGUGGGGGAUAACGUUCCGAAAAGAACUAUAAUACCGCAUACGUCCUACGGGAGAAAGCAGGGGACCUUCGGGCCUUGCGCUAUCAGAUGAGCCUAGGUCGGAUUAGCUAGUUGGUGAGGUAAUGGCUCACCAAGGCGACGAUCCGUAACUGGUCUGAAAGGAUGAUCAGUCACACUGGAACUGAGACACGGUCCAGACUCCUACGGGAGGCAGCAGUGGGGAAUAUUGGACAAUGGGCGAAAGCCUGAUCCAGCCAUGCCGCGUGUGUGAAGAAGGUCUUCGGAUUGUAAAGCACUUUAAGUUGGGAGGAAGGGCAGUAAGCUAAUACCUUGCUGUUUUGACGUUACCGACAGAAUAAGCACCGGCUAACUUCGUGCCAGCAGCCGCGGUAAUACGAAGGGUGCAAGCGUUAAUCGGAAUUACUGGGCGUAAAGCGCGCGUAGGUGGUUCGUUAAGUUGGAUGUGAAAGCCCCGGGCUCAACCUGGGAACUGCAUCC